Erinaceus europaeus (western European hedgehog) is the source of this 1724-nucleotide non-coding RNA. The record is from the annotation of a RefSeq genome assembly. NCBI's taxonomy places the organism in Eukaryota, Metazoa, Chordata, Mammalia, Eulipotyphla, Erinaceidae.
ACCCGGUUUGACUACUGGGGCCAGGGGGCUAUGGUCACCGUCAGCACAGAUAACCCAUCUGCCCCCACGCUGUUCCCACUUGUCUCCUGUGAAAGCACUGAUGACAGCCUGGUUGCCCUGGGAUGCCUGGCCCGAGACUUCCUGCCCAGCACAAUCAACUUCUCUUGGAACUUCAAGAACAACAGUGAGGUUGGCAGCCAUAAUGUCCAGACCUUUCCAUCGGUGCAGAGCCAAGGCCGGUACAUGGCCAGUUCACAGCUGUUGCUUCCCUCUGUGAACCUGCUUCCAGGCUCAGAUGACUUCCUGGUGUGCAAUGCCAAGCACCCCCAGGGAGAAAGGCGUCUGAAUGUGCAAAUACCAGGGGUUGGUGAGCUGCCUCCCAAUGUCAGCAUCUUCAUCCCACCUCGAGAUGCCUUCUCCAGCUCUGGUGCAGGUCCACGCACUUCCCAGCUCAUCUGCCAGGCCACAGGCUUCAGUCCCAAGAAGGUGUCAGUAUCUUGGCUUCGUGAAGGGAAGCCCUUGAAGGUGGGCAUUGACACAGGCACCGUGGAGACUGAGCCCAAGGGGGCUGGACCCCAGACCUUCAGGAUCACGAGCAGGCUUACUAUUACUGAGAGUGACUGGCUCAGCCAGAAUGUGUUUACCUGUCGGGUGGAGCACCUCGGGCUUCACUACCAGAAGAAUGUGUCCUCUGUGUGUGGACCUGCUGCCCCCACCACCAUCAGGGUAUUCACCGUGCCACCUUCUUUUGCCGGUAUGUUCCUCAACAAGAUGGCCAAGCUGACCUGCCUGGUCACUGACUUGGUCACCUAUGACAGCCUGAACAUCUCCUGGGCCCAUGACGGUGGUGAUAAACUGAAGACCAGCUUUAAAGUAUCUGACAGUCACCUCAACGGCACUUUCAGUGCUGUGGGUGAGGCCUCUAUAUUUGUGGAGGACUGGAAGUCUGGGAGGAAGUUCACAUGCACUGUGAUCCACAAGGACCUGCCCGCCCCACUCAAGCACACCAUCUCUUACUCCAAUGAAGGUGUCAAACACCCACCAUCUGUGUAUAUAUUGCCGCCAGCAAAGGAGCAGCUGCACCUGCGAGAGUCAGCCUCUGUCACUUGCCUGAUGAACAACUUCUCACCUGCUGACUUAUUUGUCCAGUGGCAACACAAAGGGCAGCCAGUAUCUCCUGACAAGUAUGUGACCAGUGCCCCCAUGCCUGAACCCCAGGCACCUGGCCUCUACUUCUCAUACAGUGUGCUGACCGUGAGUGAGGAGGAGUGGAAUGCCGGUGACACUUUCACCUGUGUCGUGGGACAUGAGGAGCUGCCCCACUCAGUGACCGAACGCACCGUGGAUAAGACCACUGGGGGGGAAGUGAGUGCAGAGGAGGAAGGCUUCGAGAACUUGUCAGCCAUGGCCUCCACCUUCAUCGUCCUCUUCCUCUUGAGUCUCUUCUACAGCACCACCGUCACCCUGUUUAAGGUGAAGUAACUACCCAUGUCAGCCUUGGUCAAGACAUGGAACCCUGUGAAAGCUGCUGGUGCUGGGCUCUCUGGGCCUGCAAAGCCUCCAAGUAUCACCUAUCUGCUUGUUGCCACUACCCCUUGCUUCCAGCUGUAACAUAUUGACUGCCCUUGUACAUGGCCAAGCUUGCAGCUGUGCAGCCACAUUGCACCUUCCCUUCCACUGUACCAUAAACACACCAUUAUAAAUAAACAUAUUGUGCUCUGGGA